CCUACGGGUGGCAGCAGUGAGGAAUAUUGGUCAAUGGACGAGAGUCUGAACCAGCCAAGUAGCGUGAAGGAUGACUGCCCUAUGGGUUGUAAACUUCUUUUAUAAAGGAAUAAAACGAGGCACGUGUACCUUUUUGCAUGUACUUUAUGAAUAAAGAUCGGCUAACUCCGUGCCAGCAGCCGCGGUAAUACGUAGGGGGCUAGCGUUAUCCGGAAUUACUGGGCGUAAAGGGUGCGUAGGUGGUUUCUUAAGUCAGAGGUGAAAGGCUAGGGCUCAACCGUAGUAAGCCUUUGAAACUGGGGAACUUGAGUGGAGGAGAGGAGUGUGGAAUGCGUAGUGUAGCGGUGAAAUGCGUAGAUAUUAGGAGGAACACCAGUUGCGAAGGCGGCUUUCUGGACUGUAACUGACACUGAGGCACGAAAGCGUGGGGAGCAAACAGGAUUAGAUACCCCUGUAGUC
This 459-nucleotide ribosomal RNA is filed under the name uncultured bacterium. Its description in RNAcentral is "partial 16S ribosomal RNA". It matches the Rfam family "Bacterial small subunit ribosomal RNA", at positions 338 to 795 of the family's 1533-position model. The record is from RNAcentral.